UCAAUGAUUGGAGAGCUCCACAGUUAAACCCCUAUAAAGAACGUAUAUGGCAGGAAGUUAAGUUGGAAAGAAAUGGAAAGACUGGAAAGACCAACUGAAAAGAAAGCACUUCAACAAGUACAAAACUAAUGAAGAACGCUUAGCAAAUUGUCCCGAUAGGGUGGAUCCUAGUCAGUGGAAGAUUCUCGUUCAAUUUUGGAAUAGUCUAGAGGCACAGGAACGCAGUACAACCAACAGUGACAAU
Molecule: non-coding RNA, 244 nt
Organism: Camellia sinensis
Lineage: Eukaryota; Viridiplantae; Streptophyta; Magnoliopsida; Ericales; Theaceae
Source: RefSeq, a predicted model, not a curated record